UACCAGCACCCCGAGUGGUCGGGACGAUUAUUGGGCCUAAAGCAUCCGUAGCCGGUUCUGCAAGUCCCCCGUUAAAUCCAGCUGCUCAACAGAUGGGCCGCGGAGGAUACUACAGAGCUAGGAGGCAGGAGAGGCAAGCGGUACUCAGUGGGUAGGGGUAAAAUCCGUUGAUCCAUUGAAGACCACCAGUGGCGAAGGCGGCUCACUGGCCCGGUACUGACGCUGAGGUGCGAAAGCGUGGGGAGCAAACAGG
RNAcentral lists this ribosomal RNA (253 nucleotides) under uncultured bacterium. RNAcentral's name for it is "partial 16S ribosomal RNA". It matches the Rfam family "Archaeal small subunit ribosomal RNA", at positions 474 to 727 of the family's 1478-position model. The record is from RNAcentral.